AUACGUAGGGGGCAAGCGUUAUCCGGAUUUACUGGGUGUAAAGGGAGCGUAGACGGCACUGCAAGUCUGGAGUGAAAGCCCGGGGCUCAACCCCGGGACUGCUUUGGAAACUGUGGUGCUAGAGUGCAGGAGAGGUAAGUGGAAUUCCUAGUGUAGCGGUGAAAUGCGUAGAUAUUAGGUUAGGAACACCAGUGGCGAAGGCGGCUUACUGGACUGUAACUGACGUUGAGGCUCGAAAGCGUGGGGAGC
This 249-nucleotide ribosomal RNA is filed under the name uncultured bacterium. Its description in RNAcentral is "partial 16S ribosomal RNA". It matches the Rfam family "Bacterial small subunit ribosomal RNA", at positions 523 to 769 of the family's 1533-position model. The record is from RNAcentral.